This 274-nucleotide ribosomal RNA is filed under the name uncultured bacterium. RNAcentral's name for it is "partial 16S ribosomal RNA". It matches the Rfam family "Bacterial small subunit ribosomal RNA", at positions 523 to 796 of the family's 1533-position model. The record is from RNAcentral.
AUACGGAGGGUGCAGGCGUUACUCGGAAUCACUGGGCGUAAAGCGCGCGCGGGCGGCCAUUUAAGUUGGAUGUGAAAGCCUACGGCUCAACCGUAGAACUGCAUCCAAAACUAUUUGGCUAGAGUGUGGGAGAGGAAGAUGGAAUUAGUUGUGUAGGGGUAAAAUCCGUAGAGAUAACUAGGAAUACCAAAAGCGAAGGCAAUCUUCUGGAACACUACUGACGCUGAGGCGCGAAAGCGUGGGGAGCAAACGGAAUUAGAAACCCCAGUAGUCC